ACACUACAUAGAGAAUUUAAAAAUUGGUCUCUUUCUGUGUUGAAUAGCUUGGUAUCCCCAUGGACAUCUCUGACACGAGUUUGGAGAGUGGCAGCGACUGUCUUGCUGGGGAAUAGCAAACUACUGAGCAACACAGGCCUGCUGGUGUGGAGCUGGUGGGAAACCCAGACAGAGCACCCAAAGACAUUGGCCAUAGAAACAGUAAGACUGUGAGCAAUGCCGGUGUUCCAUGUACUUAAUCUGCACUGUUUCACCCAACCCUCAUGACAGCCCUUUGAAGUAGAAAUUGCAUUCUCAUUCUGCAGGUAAGGAAAUAGGGUGCUCAGGGAGGUUAGACGACUUGCCUAAAGUCACACAGCUGAGAACGGUGGAGUUUGGAUUCAAAUAUGGUUUUAUCUACCUUCAGAGGAUAAAUAAGAUAUGCAGUACGAGAAGCUAAUUACAAGAAGUAGGGAGAAACUUUCUCCACGUGGUUGACUGUAUGCUGAGAUAGUAAUGAAGGGAUAUAAAGUUUACUCCUAGAGAGAUUCUAUUUUAUUAUUUUUUUCUUUGAGACAGAGUCUCACUCUGUGGCCCAGGCUGGAGUGCAGUGGCGCUAUCUCAGCUCACUGCAACCCCCACCUCCCAGGCUCAAGCGAUCUUCCCACUUCAUCCGCCCAAGUAGCUGAAAUAUAGAUGUGUGCCACCAUGCCCAGCUAAAUUUUUGUAUUUGUUUUUUAGUAGAGAUGGGGUUUUUGCCAUGUUGACCAGGCUGGUCUCGAAUACCUGACCUCAAGUGAUCCACCUGCUUCAGCCUCCCAAAGUGUUGGGAUUACAGGCCACUGCGCCCACCUACUUCCAGAGAUUUUAAGUGAACUUCUUUCAUUUUAUAACUCUCAGUAUAGUUUAUAGUUUAUUCAGGUCUUCCUAACACCCUGUCCAAUGCAUAAGGUUGAUAUUAUUUCCUGCAUUCUGAAGUGACACAGACUUCCCCAUAUACCGCAAGGAGGAAGCAGUAGCUUCCCUGAGCUUGACAUGGCCAGCUUCCUGCUGCCCAGCCUGAGAUGCAGCUGCUGAGCUACAAUUGGCUGGAGGUGGGAGGCUGGAUCUGAGGGCCUCUGGAAAUCCCUUCUGGCUCAGGAGAGCCGUCAUUUAAAAACUGGUUUCAGCUGUGGUGGAGUCUUAGCCAUCAGUAACGUCUGUUGUUUUGAGUUUUCCUCCUAAAGUCCUUUCUUUCUGCAAGGAAAAGAAAAGAGAAUUUCAUAAAAAAAAAGGAAAGAAAACUUUUUUGUUAACACCCAAGGUAUCAUAAGGAUACAGUCAGACCCAACAUCAGAGAGACACAGACGGUGGUGACUAACAUGGGCCAACACAAGCCGAGAGUACCGGCACCCAGUGCACAAACCCCCAGCACAGGCCCAACAAGUUCAACGCAGCUCUGGUUUGGGAGGUUUUAGGAGCAAGCAGCUGUUUCAUUUUUAACCAGUGAC
RNAcentral lists this long non-coding RNA (1469 nucleotides) under Callithrix jacchus (white-tufted-ear marmoset). RNAcentral describes it as "lncRNA (ENSCJAG00000086718.1)". The record is from RNAcentral. Lineage: Eukaryota; Metazoa; Chordata; Mammalia; Primates; Cebidae.